Molecule: ribosomal RNA, 459 nt
Filed under: uncultured bacterium
Lineage: Bacteria
Description: partial 16S ribosomal RNA
Rfam family: Bacterial small subunit ribosomal RNA
Source: RNAcentral
CCUACGGGAGGCAGCAGUGAGGAAUAUUGGUCAAUGGCCGCAAGACUGAACCAGCCAAGUAGCGUGAAGGAUGACGGUCCUAUGGGUUGUAAACCGCUUUUAUCAGGGGACAAAAGGCGCCACGUGUGGCGCUUUGCGAGUACCGGAAGAAAAAGCAUCGGCUAACUCCGUGCCAGCAGCCGCGGUAAUACGGAGGAUGCGAGCGUUAUCCGGAUUUAUUGGGUUUAAAGGGUGCGCAGGCGGAAUGUCAAGUCAGCGGUAAAAUUUCGGGGCUCAACCCCGUCGUGCCGCGGAAACUGGCGUUCUUGAGUGAGCGAGACGUAUGCGGAAUGCGUGGUGUAGCGGUGAAAUGCAUAGAUAUCACGCAGAACUCCGAUUGCGAAGGCAGCAUACCGGCGCGCAACUGACGCUGAUGCACGAAAGCGCGGGUAUCGAACAGGAUUAGAUACCCUUGUAGUC